This is a small nucleolar RNA of Anneissia japonica, 76 nucleotides long. NCBI's taxonomy places the organism in Eukaryota, Metazoa, Echinodermata, Crinoidea, Comatulida, Comatulidae. The record is from RefSeq and is a predicted model, not a curated record.
AUCUUAUGAUGAAAGUACACUCCAGUUCUGCAACUGAAUGGAUGUGAUGUUAACCCUUUACCAAACUUUCUGAAGA